This 486-nucleotide ribosomal RNA is filed under the name uncultured bacterium. Its description in RNAcentral is "partial 16S ribosomal RNA". It matches the Rfam family "Bacterial small subunit ribosomal RNA", at positions 30 to 507 of the family's 1533-position model. The record is from RNAcentral.
AUUGAACGCUGGCGGCAUGCCUUACACAUGCAAGUCGAACGGCAGCACGGGUGCUUGCCCCUGGUGGCGAGUGGCGAACGGGUGAGUAAUACAUCGGAACAUGUCCUGUAGUGGGGGAGGGCCAGGCGAAGACGGGGUAAAUACUACAUCCUAAUAACGGAUAAAGCCGGGGUCCCUAGGGACCGCCGGCUUUGCGGUUGCCCGAUGGCGGAUUAGCUAGUUGGUGGGGUAAAGGCCUACCAAGGCGACGAUCAGUAGCUGGUCUGAGAGGACGACCAGCCACACUGGGACUGAGACACGGCCCAGACUCCUACGGGAGGCAGCAGUGGGGAAUUUUGGACAAUGGGCGAAAGCCUGAUCCAGCAAUGCCGCGUGUGUGAAGAAGGCCUUCGGGUUGUAAAGCACUUUUGUCCGGAAAGAAAUCCUUGGCCCUAAUACGGUCGGGGGAUGACGGUACCGGAAGAAUAAGCACCGGCUAACUACGUG